Peromyscus leucopus (white-footed mouse) is the source of this 1950-nucleotide long non-coding RNA. RefSeq lists it as uncharacterized. The record is from RefSeq and is a predicted model, not a curated record. Lineage: Eukaryota; Metazoa; Chordata; Mammalia; Rodentia; Cricetidae. The transcript has 5 exons.
CCAGCCUCCGAGGGAGUGACUGGCAACAGAUAACCUCCAUUCAGUGACAUGCAGACCAGCCUCCGAGGGAGUGACUGGCAGCAGAUAACCCCCAUUCAGUGACAUGCAGACCAGCCUCCGAGGGAGUGACUGGCAGUAGCAUGCGUGUGGUCUCCUCUGUGGGUAACAUGGCCCCAAAGAAGAGACGGCCAGCAGGAAACUGCAGAGGGAGUCAGUGUCCUGUUCAGGUCUGGAAUGGCUUCAGAGAGCAUGGACAGCUACAGAGAGUAUGUGUGGAUGGAGCAAUGCACGGUGUCACUUUUUGAUCCAUACAGAGGACAUUAAGGGACACUGACUGAACAAUACACAGAUUGUCUCUUUUCCUCCCUUAAUUCUAAAUAUCCAUCGAUGUGCUCAUGAAAUCUGCAAUUCAUUGCAGACACAGUACGAAGAAGCCCACUCGAGGGGUGAUGUUCCCCCCCAGCCAAGCAGUACCUUCCUCAAGCCGCCACCUUUUCUGCUCUGGCCUCCACCCAGCACCCAGCUCCUGCAGUGUUCCUUGGCCAAGAGGGACUGCGCCAGCCCAAGAGAAGCAGCAGACGGGCCCCUCAAGCUUCGAGCAGGAAAGGAGAGCCUCCAGAGGAUGUGGCUAAGAAGGUGCUGACACUGUCAAGCUCUACAGAUGUCUGCGACCCCUGCUCCCUUGGACACCCCCAGUGGAAAGAAUGGGAAGAAUAGGUGCAGGAACACUACCGUUUCACCCGGAGACAAAUGAGAACACAUUUGUGGCACAACACCCUGAAUACUUCUGUGACAUUGCUAUGACAGGGACAGUCUUUCACAGAACCACGGACAGCUAUUGGAAUGAGUAAGCAGAGAUGGACAUGCUCCACCAUCUCGCUCUUCCGUCAGUCACACUGGAGUUCUACCAGUCCCGAAUCUGUCUGUUCCCGUGAAAGAGCGCAGUCGGGCCGCACACUGCACUUAGUGGUCUCUUUAAUUUCCUCCACGUUGCCCCGAACACUUCUUCCGACUUUCCCUUAAUUGGGCACUUCGAAAAUCUCAGUCCAUGAAUUUUACAGAAGUUUGGCUUCCCCCACACCCAUGUAGACCCCAGCUUGCUGUGACAGUGGGAUGUUCUGCGCAUUGGGCUUCACUGGGUGGUACAAAGUUCAACUUACCCUCUUACUGGUGACAUUUACUUUGAUAAUUUAGCAUGGCAUUUGCUGCUCUUCCCACCGGACAUUUUUAUAUUCUUCCUGUGUGAGAAAAUACUUUGAGAAUAUAUAAACACCCUGGUUUGCAUCAAACAUUACAAAUAUAAUUCAUUCAUUCAUAUCAGCAGGCACACUGAUUCUAGUCCUUAAGUAGAGUAUAAUUUGUUGUUAUCAUAAUUUUCAUCAAAUUGUCCCAGACAAGGCCAGUGAGAGACCCUUGAAGUAGGCUAUGUGUCCCUCUGUCCUGCCUGUUGUUCUUGGAGCCUUGUCUGUCUCUCUGGUACAAGAUAAAUCAGGCCAUGGCCCAGUCCUAGCCCUGGCUUAAUGCCCAAGGUGCCUUGACUCCUGUUGAUGGGGGACUGGUCUUUACAAACAAGAUGAGGCUCACUUUGAGAAUGGCUUCUCAAAUCACUGAAGUGUGCUCAGCCCCUGAUGUGAAGGCCAGAGCUCCCCUGGGCUUCCUGAGUGGGUCCCGCCUGCAAAGAGGACCAUAGGUACCAAGGAGCAGUGUCUGGGACAGUCUGCACUGCAGGCAGAGUUGGGGCCUCACAGGCUGUGGUCGUUUGAAUGUCAUUGGCCCUCAUAAGCUCAUAAGGAGUGGCACUAUUAGGAGGUGUGGCCUUGUUGGAGGAAGUGUGUCACUAUGGGGGUUGGCUUUGAGCUCUUCUAUGCUCAAACUAUGAUCAGUGUAGAGAUAGUUCACUUCCUGUUGCCUGUGGAUCAAGAUGUAGGACUCUCAGCUUCUUCUCCAGCA